AUUGAACGCUGGCGGCAUGCUUUACUCAUGCAAGUCGAACGGUAACAGGCCGCAAGGUGCUGACGAGUGGCGAACGGGUGAGUAAUGCAUCGGAACGUGCCCAGUCGUGGGGGAUAACGCAGCGAAAGCUGUGCUAAUACCGCAUACGAUCUAUGGAUGAAAGCGGGGGACCGUAAGGCCUCGCGCGAUUGGAGCGGCCGAUGUCAGAUUAGGUAGUUGGUGGGGUAAAGGCUCACCAAGCCAACGAUCUGUAGCUGGUCUGAGAGGACGACCAGCCACACUGGGACUGAGACACGGCCCAGUCUCCUACGGGAGGCAGCAGUGGGGAAUUUUGGACAAUGGGCGCAAGCCUGAUCCAGCAAUGCCGCGUGCAGGAAGAAGGCCUUCGGGUUGUAAACUGCUUUUGUACGGAACGAAACGGCGAGCUCUAAUACAGUUUGCUAAUGACGGUACCGUAAGAAUAAGCACCGGCUAACUACGUGUCAGCCGCCGCCGUAA
RNAcentral lists this ribosomal RNA (498 nucleotides) under uncultured bacterium. RNAcentral describes it as "partial 16S ribosomal RNA". It matches the Rfam family "Bacterial small subunit ribosomal RNA", at positions 30 to 523 of the family's 1533-position model. The record is from RNAcentral.